UUCCGGUUGAUCCUGCCGGACCUGACUGCUAUCGGAUUGAUACUAAGCCAUGCGAGUCUUUGUAGUAAUACAAGGCAUACGGCUCAGUAACGCGUAGUCAACCUACCCUAUGGACAAGAAUAAUCUCGGGAAACUGAGCAUAAUUCUUGAUAGAUCAUAAUGCCUGGAAUGGUUUAUGGUUAAAAUGAUUCGUCGCCAUAGGAUGGGACUGCGGCCUAUCAGCUUGUUGGUGAGGUAAUGGCCCACCAAGGCGAUAACAGGUACGGGCUCUGAGAGGAGAAGCCCGGAGAUGGGUACUGAGACAAGGACCCAGGCCCUAUGGGGCGCAGCAGGCGAGAAAACUUUGCAAUGUGCGAAAGCACGACAAGGUUAGUCCGAGUGAUUUCUGCUAAAGAGAUCUUUUGCUAGUCAUAAAACCACUAGUGAAUAAGGGGUGGGCAAGUUCUGGUGUCAGCCGCCGCGGUAAAACCAGCACCUCAAGUGGUCAGGAUGAUUAUUGGGCCUAAAGCAUCCGUAGCCGGCUCUGUAAGUUUUCGGUUAAAUCUAUGCGCUCAACGUAUGGGCUGCCGAAAAUACUGCAGAGAUAGGGAGUGGGAGAGGUAGACGGUACUCGGUAGGAAGGGGUAAAAUCCUUUGAUCUAUCGAUGACCACCUGUGGCGAAGGCGGUCUACCAGAACACGUUCGACGGUGAGGGAUGAAAGCUGGGGGAGCAAACCGGAUUAGAUACCCGGGUAGUCCCAGCUGUAAACGAUGCAGACUCGAUGAUGCAUUGGCAUAUAGCCAGUGCAGUGUCGCAGGGAAGCCGUUAAGUCUGCCGCCUGGGAAGUACGUACGCAAGUAUGAAACUUAAAGGAAUUGGCGGGGGAGCACCACAAGGGGUGAAGCCUGCGGUUCAAUUGGAUUCAACGCCGGG
RNAcentral lists this ribosomal RNA (914 nucleotides) under uncultured marine archaeon. Its description in RNAcentral is "bacterial SSU rRNA". It matches the Rfam family "Archaeal small subunit ribosomal RNA", at positions 1 to 922 of the family's 1478-position model. The record is from RNAcentral.